This 589-nucleotide ribosomal RNA is filed under the name uncultured bacterium. RNAcentral describes it as "bacterial SSU rRNA". It matches the Rfam family "Bacterial small subunit ribosomal RNA", at positions 34 to 616 of the family's 1533-position model. The record is from RNAcentral.
CGCUGGCGGCGUGCCUAACACAUGCAAGUCGAGCGGUAACAGGUGUAGCAAUACAUGCUGACGAGCGGCGAACGGGUGAGCAAUGCUUCGGAGUCUACCCAAUGGUGUGGAAUAACCAGCCGAAAGGUUGGCUAAUACCGCAUAAGCCCUACGGGGGAAAGCAGGGGAUCGCAAGACCUUGCGCCGAUGGAUGAGCCGAAGUCGGAUUAGCUAGUUGGUAGGGUAACGGCCUACCAAGGCGACGAUCCGUAGCUGGUCUGAGAGGACGACCAGCCACACUGGGACUGAGACACGGCCCAGACUCCUACGGGAGGCAGCAGUGGGGAAUAUUGGACAAUGGGGGCAACCCUGAUCCAGCGACGCCGCGUGUGUGAAGAAGGCCUGCGGGUUGUAAAGCACUUUUAGUGGGGAUGAAAAGCUCAGGGAUAACACCUCUGGGUCUUGACCUAACCCACAGAAAAAGCACCGGCUAACUCUGUGCCAGCAGCCGCGGUAAUACAGAGGGUGCAAGCGUUAAUCGGAAUUACUGGGCGUAAAGCGUGCGUAGACGGUAGCGUAAGUCGGGUGUGAAAGCCCGGGGCUCAACCUG